AAAUAAACACUAUAUAAAAAAAAAAUCUUUAUCCCUCUGCGUAUCUUAGCUCAACAUUUACCAUUUUUCUACCCUACGCAUUUACCGGCUCACUCGCCGGAGUUUUUCCCGGUCAAUGACUAAUUCAACUUCCUUUUUCCCGAUUUAACAAACUUUCCAGAAUUUUCGCGAGAAACAGCCUUAUAUAUUUAUAUACAAACAUUCCUUCUUCGUUUUCAUCAAACAGUACUGUGAAGAGAAGAAAAUAUGGGAGUUGAUUACUAUAAGACACUGAAAGUGUCACGCAAUGCGAGUGAAGAAGAUUUGAAAAAAUCGUAUAAGCGAUUGGCAAUGAAAUGGCAUCCGGAUAAGAAUAGUGAGAACAAGAAGGAAGCUGAAGCGAAAUUCAAGCAGAUAUCUGAGGCUUAUGAUGUGCUUAGUGAUCCACAGAAGAGGCAGAUCUAUGAUUUAUAUGGUGAUGAGGCGCUGAAAUCCGGUCAAUUCGAUCCAUCCUCACCUAGUGGUGUCUAUGGUGAUGGAAGAGGAUUUAAGUUCAAUUCACGUGAUGCGGAAGAUAUUUUUGCGGAGUUUUUUGGUGGAUCGGCUGGGUAUACUAGGAGUACUGGUGGUACUGUACGGAUUCGGAAAGCUGCGCCGGUGGAGAACAAGUUGCCGUGUAGCUUGGAGGAGUUAUACAAGGGUUCUAAGAGGAAAAUGAAGAUUUCAAGGAUUGUUCUUGAUGGCACUGGUAAGCCCACAACUAUUGAAGAGGUCUUGGCAAUACACAUUAAACCUGGUUGGAAGAAAGGCACAAAAAUUACUUUUCCAGAGAAAGGGAACCAUGAACCUGGAGCUGCACCUGGUGAUCUUACUUUUGUGAUAGAUGAAAAGCCACAUGAUGUUUUCAAGAGAGAUGGGAAUGAUCUAGUGAUCAAUCAGAAAAUCUCAUUAGUAGAUGCUCUCGCUGGGAAAACUAUCAACCUAACUAGUUUGGAUGGAAGGGAACUCACAAUACCAAUCACAGAUGUUGUUAAACCAGGACAUGAACAGAUAAUCCCAAAUGAAGGAAUGCCAAUAUCAAAAGAACCUGGAAAGAAAGGAAAAUUGAGGAUCAAGUUUGAGGUUAAAUUCCCGUCAAGGCUUAGUACAGAUCAGAAAUUUGAUAUCAGAAGAGUAUUGGGCAGAACUGCUAACUAAUCGAAGGUUUUACUUGAGAUUUUACCAAGAUUGAUUGUUUAUGUACAUACUUGAAAAGUUUGCAUAAAGUUUAUGCUAGACAUAAGACAGAAGAAUUGUGCAUAGUAGGAUUAGUGUUUUGACACGAUGCCUCUCUAAGUUUACUUUUAUUUAGCACCAUAAAGGGAGCUAAUAUAGCAGCUACUCCAGCUGCCCAUCUAUAAUUCUUAUGUUGGAUAUUGAACACGUUAGGUAGUUUACUAGUUUUAAUAACUGUGCUAUUUAAUUUGGAGGUAGAUGCUAUAUAUCAAGUAGUUGGAGUUUGGAGUAGCUUGCUAUGUUGUUCGGAUUGUGAAAUUUCAUCUGUGGGUGGCAGAUUGUUGCAGACUGGUUUUGCCUUUUCAUUUAGCUCCUUGUCAACCCAGAAGAAUAUGAAAACUUUUUUGUUAGUGUUGACAUUUAUGCAGGGACCACACCAUGAAGCUGUAAAGUCAAUAACAAUCUAACAAAUCACAACUCACAAGAAGAAAGAAAAAGAAAAGAGUCAAAUGAUAUUAGUACAGCCUAUAUA
This is an RNA transcript of Solanum dulcamara, 1726 nucleotides long. RefSeq lists it as uncharacterized. The record is from RefSeq and is a predicted model, not a curated record. NCBI's taxonomy places the organism in Eukaryota, Viridiplantae, Streptophyta, Magnoliopsida, Solanales, Solanaceae. The transcript is spliced from 4 exons.